AGAACGAACGCUGGCGGCAGGCUUAACACAUGCAAGUCGAACGCGUGUAGCAAUACACGAGUGGCGCACGGGUGAGUAACGCGUGGAUAUCUGCCUUUUGGUUCGGAAUAACCCCGGGAAACUGGGGCUAAUACCGGAUGGUUCCUACGGGAUAAAGAUUUAUCGCCAAAAGAUGAGUCCGCGUCCGAUUAGCUAGUUGGUGGGGUAAUGGCCUACCAAGGCGACGAUCGGUAGCUGGUCUGAGAGGACGAUCAGCCACACUGGGACUGAGACACGGCCCAGACUCCUACGGGAGGCAGCAGUGGGGAAUAUUGGACAAUGGGGGCAACCCUGAUCCAGCCAUGCCGCGUGAGUGAUGAAGGCCUUCGGGUUGUAAAGCUCUUUUGGCGGGACGAUGAUGACGGUACCGCAGAUAAGCCCGGCUAACUUCGUGCCAGCAGCCGC
This 444-nucleotide ribosomal RNA is filed under the name uncultured bacterium. RNAcentral describes it as "SSU rRNA". It matches the Rfam family "Bacterial small subunit ribosomal RNA", at positions 26 to 518 of the family's 1533-position model. The record is from RNAcentral.